GAUGAACGCUAGCGGGACGCCUAACACAUGCAAGUCGAACGGGAUCCAUACUUCGGUAUGGUGAGAGUGGCAAACGGGCGAGUAACGCGUACUGAACCUGGCCUGGAGUGGAGGAUAACUGCAGAGAUGUAGCUAAUACUCCAUACGCCCUAACAAAUGGGAAUAGUUAGGGGAAAGAUUUAUUGCUCUGGGAGGGUGGUGCGUCCUAUCAGGUAGUUGGUUAGGUAAUGGCUGACCAAGCCUAUGACGGGUAACCGGUCUGAGAGGAUGUCCGGCCACAAUGGGACUGAGAUACGGCCCAUACUCCUACGGGAGGCAGCAGUGGGGAAUCUUGCGCAAUGGGCGAAAGCCUGACGCAGCGAUCCCGCGUGAAGGACGAAGCUCUACGGGGUGUAAACUUCUUUUCUGGAGGAAGACGAAUGACGGUACUUCAGGAAUAAGAGACGGCUAACUACGUGCCAGCAGCCGCGGUAAUACGUAGGUCUCGAGCGUUAUCCGGAGUUACUGGGCGUAAAGUGUCCGUAGCCGGGUUUAUAAGUCUGUUUUCAAAAAUCUCGACUUAAUCGAGGGAAGGGGAUGGAUACUGUAUACCUAGAGGUAUUGAGAGGUUAGUGGAAUUUCCGGUGGAGCGGUGAAAUGCGUUGAUAUCGGAAGGAAUGCCGAAAGCGAAAGCAGCUAACUAUUAAUCACCUGACGGUAAGGGACGAAAGCUUGGGUAGCAAACGGGAUUAGAUACCCCGGUAGUCCAAGCCGUAAAUGAUGCUUGCUAGGUGUCUUACCCGUUCUGCGGGUUGGGGUGCCGAAAGUUAACACGUUAAGCAAGUCGCCUGGGUAGUAUACUCGCAAGAGUGAAACUCAA
This 859-nucleotide ribosomal RNA is filed under the name uncultured candidate division SR1 bacterium. Its description in RNAcentral is "bacterial SSU rRNA". It matches the Rfam family "Bacterial small subunit ribosomal RNA", at positions 28 to 904 of the family's 1533-position model. Lineage: Bacteria; Candidatus Absconditibacteriota. The record is from RNAcentral.